This 918-nucleotide ribosomal RNA is filed under the name Pyrenophora biseptata. RNAcentral describes it as "eukaryotic LSU rRNA". It matches the Rfam family "Eukaryotic large subunit ribosomal RNA", at positions 25 to 961 of the family's 3401-position model. The record is from RNAcentral. Lineage: Eukaryota; Fungi; Ascomycota; Dothideomycetes; Pleosporales; Pleosporaceae.
CCGCUGAACUUAAGCAUAUCAAUAAGCGGAGGAAAAGAAACCAACAGGGAUUGCCCUAGUAACGGCGAGUGAAGCGGCAACAGCUCAAAUUUGAAAUCUGGCUCUUUCAGGGUCCGAGUUGUAAUUUGCAGAGGGCGCUUUGGCUUUGGCAGCGGUCCAAGUUCCUUGGAACAGGACGUCACAGAGGGUGAGAAUCCCGUACGUGGUCGCUAGCUAUUGCCGUGUAAAGCCCCUUCGACGAGUCGAGUUGUUUGGGAAUGCAGCUCUAAAUGGGAGGUAAAUUUCUUCUAAAGCUAAAUACUGGCCAGAGACCGAUAGCGCACAAGUAGAGUGAUCGAAAGAUGAAAAGCACUUUGGAAAGAGAGUCAAACAGCACGUGAAAUUGUUGAAAGGGAAGCGCUUGCAGCCAGACUUGCUUGCAGUUGCUCAUCCGGACUUUUGUCCGGUGCACUCUUCUGCAGGCAGGCCAGCAUCAGUUUGGGCGGUGGGAUAAAGGUCUCUGUCACGUACCUCUCUUCGGGGAGGCCUUAUAGGGGAGACGACAUACCACCAGCCUGGACUGAGGUCCGCGCAUUUGCUAGGAUGCUGGCGUAAUGGCUGUAAGCGGCCCGUCUUGAAACACGGACCAAGGAGUCUAACAUCUAUGCGAGUGUUUGGGUGUCAAGCCCGAACGCGUAAUGAAAGUGAACGGAGGUGGGAACCCGCAAGGGUGCACCAUCGACCGAUCCUGAUGUCUUCGGAAGGAUUUGAGUAAGAGCAUGGCUGUUGGGACCCGAAAGAUGGUGAACUAUGCUUGAAUAGGGUGAAGCCAGAGGAAACUCUGGUGGAGGCUCGCAGCGGUUCUGACGUGCAAAUCGAUCGUCAAAUUUGGGCAUAGGGGCGAAAGACUAAUCGAACUAUCUAGUAGCUGGUUCCUGC